Molecule: ribosomal RNA, 781 nt
Filed under: uncultured bacterium
Lineage: Bacteria
Description: bacterial SSU rRNA
Rfam family: Bacterial small subunit ribosomal RNA
Source: RNAcentral
GUCGAAGGGGCAUCAGGGAUUAGCAAUAAUCUGCUGGCGACCGGCGCACGGGUGAGUAACACGUAUUCAACCUUCCGAUAACUCGGGGAUAGCCUUUCGAAAGAAAGAUUAAUACUCGAUAGUAUAUUUUCUUCGCAUGUUGAAAAUAUUAAAGAAUUUCGGUUAUCGAUGGGAAUGCGUUCCAUUAGGCAGUUGGCGGGGUAACGGCCCACCAAACCUACGAUGGAUAGGGGUUCUGAGAGGAAGGUCCCCCACAUUGGAACUGAGACACGGUCCAAACUCCUACGGGAGGCAGCAGUGAGGAAUAUUGGUCAAUGGACGGAAGUCUGAACCAGCCAAGUAGCGUGAAGGAUGACUGCCCUAUGGGUUGUAAACUUCUUUUAUAUGGGAAUAAAGUGCGCCACGUGUGGUGUUUUGUAUGUACCAUUAUGAAUAAGCAUCGGCUAACUCCGUGCCAGCAGCCGCGGUAAUACGGAGGAUGCGAGCGUUAUCCGGAUUUAUUGGGUUUAAAGGGAGCGUAGGUGGGCUGGUAAGUCAGCUGUGAAAGUUCGCGGCUCAACCGUAAAAUUGCAGUUGAUACUGUCAGUCUUGAGUACAGUAGAGGUUAGCGGAAUUCAUGGUGUAGCGGUGAAAUGCUUAGAUAUCACGAAGAACUCCAAUUGCGAAGGCAGCUGACUAGACUGUUACUGACACUGAUGCUCGAAAGUGUGGGUAUCAAACAGGAUUAGAUACCCUGGUAGUCCACACAGUAAACGAUGAAUACUCGCUGUUUGCGAUAUAC